AAUAGAUACCCGGUAGUCCACGCCGUAAACGAUGAGUGCUAAGUGUUAGAGGGUUUCCGCCCUUUAGUGCUGCAGCAAACGCAUUAAGCACUCCGCCUGGGGAGUACGGUCGCAAGACUGAAACUCAAAGGAAUUGACGGGGGCCCGCACAAGCGGUGGAGCAUGUGGUUUAAUUCGAAGCAACGCGAAGAACCUUACCAGGUCUUGACAUCCUCUGACACCCCUAGAGAUAGGGCUUCCCCUUCGGGGGCAGAGUGACAGGUGGUGCAUGGUUGUCGUCAGCUCGUGUCGUGAGAUGUUGGGUUAAGUCCCGCAACGAGCGCAACCCUUGAUCUUAGUUGCCAGCAUUCAGUUGGGCACUCUAAGGUGACUGCCGGUGACAAACCGGAGGAAGGUGGGGAUGACGUCAAAUCAUCAUGUCCCCUUAUGACCUGGGCUACACACGUGCUACAAUGGGCAGAACAAAGGGCAGCGAAGCCGCGAGGCUAAGCCAACUCCCACAAAUCUGCUCUCAGUUCGG
This 520-nucleotide ribosomal RNA is filed under the name uncultured bacterium. RNAcentral's name for it is "bacterial SSU rRNA". It matches the Rfam family "Bacterial small subunit ribosomal RNA", at positions 777 to 1296 of the family's 1533-position model. The record is from RNAcentral.